Molecule: ribosomal RNA, 898 nt
Filed under: uncultured archaeon
Lineage: Archaea
Description: bacterial SSU rRNA
Rfam family: Archaeal small subunit ribosomal RNA
Source: RNAcentral
UUCCGGUUGAUCCUGCCGGACCCGACUGCUAUCGGAUUGAGAUUUAGCCAUGCGAGUCGAACGUUCCCCUGUUGCGGGGAGCGUGGCGUACGGCUCAGUAACACGUAGUCAACCUGCCCUGGAGACAAGGACAACCCCGGGAAACUGGGAUUAAUCCUUGAUAGGUCAUCUCAUCUGGAAGGAGAGAUGGCUUAAAGGGGUACGCGGGCUUCUUCCGCGAAUUCGCUCCAGGAUGGGACUGCGUCCGAUCAGGCUGUUGGCGGGGUAAUGGCCCACCAAACCUGUAACCGGUACGGGCCUUGAGAGAGGUGACCCGGAGAUGGACACUGAGAGAAGGGUCCAGGUCCUACGGGGCGCAGCAGGCGCGAAACCUUCGCAAUGCGCGAAAGCGUGACGAGGUUAAUCCGAGUGACUCCCGCUGAGGGGGUCUUUUGUCAGCUGUAAAUAGGCAGGCGAAUAAGGGGAGGGCAAGCCUGGUGUCAGCCGCCGCGGUAAUACCAGCUCCUUGAGUGGUCGGGGCGAUUAUUGGGCCUAAAGCAUCCGUAGCCGGUUCCGUAGGUCCUCUGUUAAAUCCAACCGCUCAACGGUUGACCUGCAGAGGAUACCGCGGGACUAGGAGGCGGGAGAGGCGGACGGUACUCCGCGUGUAGGGGUAAAAUCCUUUGAUCCGCGGAAGACCACCAGUGGCGAAGGCGGUCCGCCAGAACGCGCUCGACGGUGAGGGAUGAAAGCUGGGGGAGCGAACCGGAUUAGAUACCCGGGUAGUCCCAGCCGUAAACGAUGCUAGCUAGAUGAUUCAUUCGCAAGUCGCGAAUGAAGUGUCGCAGGGAAGCCGUUAAGUCUGCCGCCUGGGGAGUACGGUCGCAAGACUGAAACUUAAAGGAAUGGCGGGGGAGCA